AUGACACGUCAGUGCAGUUCUCGUACCUCCCCACCUUGCCAUCCUUCCUUCCUUCCUGCCCUGCCCUGCCUGCGACCCACCGACGAAGAUUGCUUGCAUACUCUCUAAGAUGGAUCGGCUAUGUUUAGGUACCAUUCUGGGUUCCAUAAAUGAGGUACGAGUUCGGUACCAUUCCAUGUCCCCGACUGGUAUCAUGUAUAAGGUGAUCGGUCAUGUUCCUACCUUCCGUACGAUGUCAGCCAAUGAGUGCCUGCUGCUGCUAUUGUCCAAAUAUGUGAACAGUGAGUGCUUAGUACUUUGAGCAUUUCGCUCUCGCUGUAACUUCUCUACCCGUUUCAUGCGAUUGCAUGGAAUUGGUUUGCAUUUUGGAGAGCUGACUCUUCUUCUUCUUUUUUAAUCUUUAUUUCCCUUUUUGCCCCCAAUUUCUGACGUUGGUUCCACUCUGUAAUUCCGCAUUGAUUGUUGCCUUUUACGGCACUAUCAGAUGAAUUUCGUCUUUUGGAGCUUUUACUUACGAAUUGUCUAAUCGCUAAUUAUAGCAAUGAGGAAGUCAUGGAAUCUGCAUAGAAACAAGCAAUCUGAAAGAAUCCGGGAUUGUGUCAUCAUAGCAAACACAGGCCCUUAACGUCCAAUUGGUGGCGAAAUAAAACUAAAAACUGAAAAGUCUAGUACUGGAGAAGGCAGUGAACUCACAGGCAGCUGGCUGAAAUAUUCCGUCAAAACAUAACGAUAAACAACAAACCUGUUUUCUAUACUAUCCGGCGAUGUUCUCCCAUCUGAGGACGGCUUGGUCGAUUCAAAGCAGAAGCAGAUUUAGAUCAAACUCCCGAUGGAGAAGGGUUUUACCUCGACAUAAUUCCAAGGAAGAUUCCAAAGCUGAAAGUUGAUGGAACAUUUAUAAAUAUUUUGACUUCAUAUCAAGUCUUGUACUGUAUUUAGUGUGUGCGAAAUGAUGAACUUCAGCCUGAUUUUAGAAUUCCUUUAUUUUUUUUAAAGUUUAAAGCUCAUACACUAUUUCCAGCUCAUUUACCAAUGAUGGGAGUACAUUAAUCCUUGCCUUUAUUUCAAA
Physcomitrium patens is the source of this 1069-nucleotide non-coding RNA. Lineage: Eukaryota; Viridiplantae; Streptophyta; Bryopsida; Funariales; Funariaceae. The record is from RefSeq and is a predicted model, not a curated record.